This 423-nucleotide long non-coding RNA is filed under the name Phaseolus vulgaris (common bean). RNAcentral describes it as "long non-coding RNA (PVUL_LNC004628)". Lineage: Eukaryota; Viridiplantae; Streptophyta; Magnoliopsida; Fabales; Fabaceae. The record is from RNAcentral.
GAGCAAUUCGGCUACCUGGAUUAACUUUACCUGAAUUACCACCUCUACCUUCAGUCACAUUGCCAACUCUACCUCCAGUCUCAUUGCCACAUCUAAGAGUACCACCUCUACCUUCAGUCACAUUGCCAACUCUACCUCCAGUCUCAUUGCCACCUCUAAGAGUACCACCUCUACCUUCAGUCACAUUGCCAACUCUACCUCCAGUCUCAUUGCCACCUCUAAGAGUACCACCUCUACCUUCAGUCACAUUGCCAACUCUACCUCCAGUCUCAUUGCCACCUCUAAGAGUACCACCUCUACCUUCAGUCACAUUGCCAACUCUACCUCCAGUCUCAUUGCCACCUCUACCUCCAGUCACAUUGCCACCUCUUCCACCUGUUCCAGGUUUGCCAUCUCUACCACCGGUUUUGCCAUCUCUACCAC